AAUCUGGUGGUUUAUUAGCUUUUCUUGAUUCCUAUUGCUUCUGUGAGAUGGGAAUGGUCUUGCAGGUCAGGUGACAUGGAGGAAGACACUCACUCACCAAGCAUCAGGGCCCUGGACAAGAAUACUUUUCACUCCUAUGUGAUUACAUCUGCAAUAUGCUUCACAACAGGGCACCGAAUAGGGACAUUACAGUGACUGUAAAUCAGGAAUAAACAGUGCCUUGCAAGUACUUUGUCAGAAAUCAGGAACAGAAAUGAUCUCCAACUUACAUUUUCAGCAGCUCUCCUAUGGCCCUUGUAAGGCAAUAACAGAAGGAAACCCGUUUCCAAAUAAAAAGCAAACACUCAUGUAGCAGAACUGAGGCAUGAUGCAAACCACCAGCAUUUUAUGCCACAAUGCACGUAGACCACAGCCUAGAUCACGUUGCACAGAAUAUAGAACUUGGAGGCAUAUGAUCCAAUCCUAUGCAUCCAAGCUGUAUACACUCGGUGUGUUUGCCAGAAAUGGGUUGUACAGAAAAGCUUGGCAGCUGUUUGAACUCUGUGGCAUUAGGUAACAUUAUCUAGAUUACAGUCUAAAAAAAAUCUUAGUUGCACUUGAAUUUUGAUGGGGACAAAGAUAAAUUAGAAAUUGGAGCUGCUGAUAUUGCAUUUCCUUGUCUCACUACCCACCCACCCCAAGGAAAUGCAAAUGUAAGUUAAGUCCACCCAAGCACAAGUGUAAGAGGCAAAGCCUUCCAUUUCCACCCUGCACAGCUGUUUACAUUAGAGAAACAAUUUUAAAAAUAAAAAAGAGAACCCCAUGAUAUAAUUGCAACCCAUGAGCACACCACUGCUAUCACUUCUAGAGACAUUUGUCUGGGAGGGAGCUGUUGCAAUUUUUAGAACUCAGAAAGGACAGAUGCCAGAUCGUUAUUCUUGGCUUUACGAUAGAAAACAGCUUAUAGACAUAAGAUGCUAUUUACUGCCUACUGUACAUUUCAAAGAACAGAUAUCUUGUCAAUCAUACAGUCUUUGUAUUACUUGACUAUGCCAUUUUAAUUUUGCUGUGGUUAGUUAUUUUAAAAUCAGUGUUACUCUGUGAUCAGCUAUCCCUUAUCUACGGUGGUGAGAAUAGCUUGGGGUUGUGACUUAAAAGACUGCAAAUAUGACUAGUCUCGGCUGUGAAACUUUGAGACCCAUAGGCACAGUCUUUUCUUACAAAAUGCAAUCAUUACAGCAUGCAUAUAGCCCUGAGCCGUUUUACUUAUUAAGCCAAAAACUGCUUAAAAUGGCAAUCCGCUCUUGGAAAAAACAACUUGCUGCUUUUUGCCUGUACAAGAUCCCUUUUGAUACACAUAAAUUUUUAGAAAAUCUAAGCCUAGGUCAAUUGUCUAUCUCUGAGGUAGAUACAGUCACAAGGGGAUAAUAAAUAGAUGCUCAGUUACACUUCUGUGCUCAUUUUUACACACAGUAUUGUGGAUGCAACAAGCACACAUAAUUUGUUCUCCUCAAGAGUUACUUUAAAAAACCCAAAACACACCAGUGGGAAUGUGGCAUUGUGUGUGCAACUGGUGGGAGAGAGAUCAAGAAAAACACUAGCCUGAAGCAGCAGGAGCAGUGCAAUGUCUUCUACCAGGACUGGUUCUGGGAACAUUGGAAAUGCAGAUGUCUAAGAUGUAUGCACAUCAAACCUCAUAAUCUCUUGGUCACUCCAUUUUAGGAACAAGUCCUCCAAGGCUCAGCUCACAGCACUCCGUGUAAGGUCCUCAAACAAGUGCCCAUGACCACGGUGUGAAGCUGAGGGGAUGAAAAGAAGCAGCUGGAAAAGCAGGGAUUGCAGAAUUUUAUUUCUUCUUUUCCUUCCAUUGCACUUGUGAAAGUUGUACAUAGCAAUAGGAGAAUAACCUGGCCACAAAUAAUGAAACUCCUCAGUGAAAGGAAAUCUGAAGCAUCACUAUGAAUCACUAACAUUAAUUCUUAAUAAAUUUUUUAAUUCUUAACUACGCCAAGCCAAGGCUCACCAAAGACCUUAUGACUACACUGUUGUGACUGAGAUGAGACUACCUGCUCUUCGGAUUUGCUCUCCUUUUGGAUCAGGGAGUUAAAAACACAAUAGCACAAAAAUUCCAAAAUAUUUCUAGAAAGGAAAAAAGCAACCUUUGGAAGAUGCAACCCACUACAGAACAGAUCUGUAUGUCAAAAUUAUACUCUUCCUUGUCCUCCUUCCAAAGAAGAAACCACAUUGUUCCAUGACAGUAAGCAUUUUGGUCACAAUACAAUUGCAUUUUUUCAAAACUGCAUUUUCUAGGUGAAAUAUUCUUCUCACAAGAGGUUCGGUCAAUCCUCUCCCCUUUUCCUCAGCUGCUGCUAUAUCACAGUGGCAGGAAAAGCAUCUCCAGUGUGCUGGCAAAACCUGUGACCACCACAUGCUCUACUCAGAAAGCCCUGGAGGGUGUCAGACUGAUGAGCUCCAUAUUCCCAGCCAGAUGUUCCACACAGGGUGUCACCACAACAGCUGGCUACCGUAAGGCACCUGCACAGAAGCUGCUGUGCCUACCUCAUCGACCACAGCUGGAAAAGUGUUGCUGAUUUCUGAGCAGAGAGGAUAUUCCUCCUUCAUCACUUAUACUCAGAUUUGCCUACUUUCUGAAGAAGUGAACACAACUUGAGUCUGAACUCAUCCAUUGGGAAGGGUUCAUGAAAUACUCAGUACUGCUCAUCAUUCUCACAAUUUGUUGAAGGUUUGUCUUCACAACAGCUGAAUAGAACAUACCUGCUGAAAAGCCAGAUUUUAAACUUGGACAGCCUGCAAAUUAUUCUUACGUGGCUAGAAGGACACAUUCUCAGGGCUCAUCCUCUUGGGAAAGAAAAAGGAGAAAAAAGCCUCACCAAGGACUGAAUUCCCCAGGACAAUAUGGCUGAGCUUAUCUGCAACUAAGUCAGAGUCAGCCUAGUUCUUCUGCCUUAAGUUCACUAGGUCCAUCUAUGAGGAUUAUGCUUCCCACAGUUGUUUGGAUGGUCACAUCAAAUAUAACAUAAUUUGGGAACAUGGGAUGCUUAUUAUUCCAGGAUCAUCAGUACUUAGUACAUCAGCAGUGUGUUUUUACGUUUGACUGGAUGUACUGGAAUGGUUGAUGGGUACCUGAAGCUGAUGGUGAGAUAGCUCCUGUGCUCAGCUGAAGCCACCCAGGAUGAGGCAUGAGCAAAGGAAGCCAUCCAUCAAAGGCCUGGAACAAGUCUCCAGCUACCCAAGCCAAAAGGGUUUGGGAGCACUGUGGCAAGAAAAUCAUAUAGAAUCAUAAACAGUUUGGGUUGGAAGGGACCUUAAAGACAAUAUAGUUCCAACCUCCUGCCACAGGCAGGGACACCUUCUACUAGCCCAGGUUGCUCCAAGCCCUGUCCAACCUGGCCUUGAACACUGCCAGGGAUAGGGCACUUACUUAAAGUAAUCAAUUGUAUACUCUUUGAAAUAUAACUUUUUGCUCUUGUGCCUUCCUGGGGCUCCCACUGCCAGCACUGGAGAAAUCAAGAAUGGCAGUA
Long non-coding RNA from Pezoporus occidentalis (night parrot), 3521 nucleotides. RefSeq lists it as uncharacterized. The transcript is spliced from 3 exons. The record is from RefSeq and is a predicted model, not a curated record. Lineage: Eukaryota; Metazoa; Chordata; Aves; Psittaciformes; Psittacidae.